UCACAAUGUUUAUCAUUGUAACUAUACAGCAAUAAAACUUUAUGAACAAACUCUAUAUGAUUACUCACUUUAACUUUUAUCUUUAUUAUACUUUUUUCUUAUGAUUUAUCAUACUGUCAAUAACAUUUUUUCCCUUUUUAUUACCUCUUUUGUUGUCUAUAACCCUUUAUCUUUUCUAUUGUUUCUUCUACUGUUUAUGCUAUUUUUUUUUUCUUUUUAUUACCUCCUUUAAUCUCUAUAACUCUCUCCCUCUUCUCUGUGAUUUUUCUUAUGCUAUAUAGCAUUUUCUUUUUCUUUCUAUCAGUUAUAUUAUCUAUAACUCUUUUGUACAUCUAUAUAUACCAC
This 345-nucleotide long non-coding RNA is filed under the name Vigna radiata. Its description in RNAcentral is "long non-coding RNA (VRAD_LNC004356)". Lineage: Eukaryota; Viridiplantae; Streptophyta; Magnoliopsida; Fabales; Fabaceae. The record is from RNAcentral.